RNAcentral lists this long non-coding RNA (3517 nucleotides) under Mus musculus (house mouse). RNAcentral describes it as "long non-coding RNA chr1:118681644-118685161". The stretch from base 177 to 306 matches the Rfam family "U1 spliceosomal RNA". Lineage: Eukaryota; Metazoa; Chordata; Mammalia; Rodentia; Muridae. The record is from RNAcentral.
UCUGGAUCUCAUGGAGGCAUUUCCUCAGGGGAGGCUCCUUUCCCUGUGAUAACUACAGCUUGUGUCAAACUGACACACAAAACUGCUACUAUACCUUUUUACUCUGCAAAACUUCAGCCAUGAAAUGCUAGGGUAGGUUUUCCCACCUCAGAUAACUAAUCUAGAAGACUCCUCACACACUUGCUUGGCAGGGGAGAGUCCAUGAUCAAGGAGCUGGUCUUUCCUGGGUAAUGCUUAUUCUUUGCAGUCUGGAUGUGCUUGACUGAGUAAUUUUUGGUAGUGGGGGAAUGUAUUCUUGCUCCCGAUGAGUGAAUUAAAGGAAUAGAAAAGAAACUCACUGGCAGACAUAGUCAGAGGUUUAUUUCCAUGGUGAUACUAAGUCCCAUCAAGUUGACAAUCAAGAUUAGCCAUUGUGGGGGUCUAGAAAACAGUCAGACAUUGCCCUAGUGACCUCUUACCCAGUCUGCCUGGAGCCCCUUGAGAGCUAUUAACCAGGAAAAGGCUAGAACCCAUAAGCACGUCACCAGUUCCUAAGUCCAGUGUUGCUUCAGGGGCUGGCCCAAGUAGCUGGAGUUCUGAAAAUUAUUAACACAUCAGUGGAAGAAAUAGAAAGACUCUUUAGCUGUUGUCAGUGGAAAGUUGAGGUUGUUGGGGGCAAGGGGAAUUGAAUAUGGUCACUGCCUUAGGUACACUGGAGGGACAGGACCAAAAGUCAAGGGUCCCAGGCUCCCUUUAAUACAAGGUGAACAGUAGACCAUUAGUAGAGUGUCCCUGUGUUUGAAUGGCAGAACUGCCCCCCUAAAACAAGAAGCAUUGAUCUGGAGACCUGAGAACCUGGAAACUAGUCAGUAGGUGAAUCUGAGCUUCGGGAAAACUUUACCAUUGUUUCCCAUUCAUCAAAGUCAUGUGGUGGACAGGUGACCUUUGCUUGUCCUCGGUAUUCAGUGCCACCAGUGCUGCUGCAGCUGCAGGUAAACCCGAGUGGAUGGAUGCCUGCUCACCAAGUCCCAGGCUUUCCCUGACUGCAGCUGGGUGAGUGCAGGUGUGUAGGUGUGGGCCUCAGUGAUGUGCUGCUAUCUGCUGUCAUCCGAGCCAGUCUACUUGGCCAGUAUAGAGUGUUCUUUUCUCUUUCCUCUUCCAAUCUCUUUGUCCUUUGAAGAUAGGACUACUGGGCCCAAAGAGCAGUGAGACUCUAGGAAGUACCCAGACUCCUUUCCCAAGGCCAGCUCUCCUUAGCUGCUUCUCCGCCUCAGUAGGAGUCUCUGAGCCCCUGCAGGCACUGCUGUAAAGGGUCUCUAACCUGGGCCUUCAGGCUGUUCUAAGGACUGGAGUGAAGAGGUCUGUGUUCCCUUCCUUCCAAAGAGUGCCCUCCCUUUAUAUUUGCAGACAGGAACUAAACUCAGUGCUGUCCACUGGUUUCGCCAUCAUUUAGUUACUAGAGAGCAUUAUCUUCAAACCUAGUUCAGGGAAUGAUAGCCUUGCCAUCAAAAAUUACACUAAAUUACUGUAUUGGAUUGCUUGUGUUAAAUUAUGCAGGACUGUGGUGGGGCUCGAUGGCCGAGCACUUCCCAACUGCGAGCAAGGUUCUGAGUUCUAUCCCUAGUACCAUAAAACCAAUAACAUUGUGGAGAGCUGGGUAUGGUGGUGCAAACCUGUAAUCCCAGUACUCAGGGCAAUGCUGUGGCCGGGGAGUAAACGAAGGGUGACUGAGUCUCAGGCCAGUCUGGACUAUUAAAAGUUGUUUUCUCUUGUGCCAACAUACUUAAUUUUACCUCUUUGCCCUUAAAUACUGAAAUAUUUACUCCCCAACUCCUUUUUUUUUAACAUUUUAAUGUAUUUUAUUGUCUUAUUUGUCAGUGGUAGGGAACAGACCCAGAAUUCAGGGCCUCACACAUGUGAGGCAGGUGUUCUACCACUGAGCUAGCCCCUAACCUCAGCAGCCUUCUCUCUCCUUAGGAUUACUUAGGGCACUCUCAAGCAUUAAGGGCUAUCUUUUUUUUUUUUUUUAAUUAGGUAUUUUCCUCAUUUACAUUUCCAAGGGCUAUCUUAACAAUGCAUUUUGCAUAAACUUAGGAGAAGUAGAAGGUGCAAUCAGAAGUCUGGAGAGUUCCUUGCCUUCUGUGUAUCUCACUUCUGGAAAGUUCUGAUCCUCACUUGGCUCCCAGGGACUAUGCCCAGCCUUUCCAUGAGAGAGAGUACAGAGGUCUCUUCCUCAAACGCUCCUGUUACCUGGAACCCUGCUCGGCCUUUGUCCUGGUCCUCUGGUCAGGGUUUGAUAGAAGAAAGGACUUUUGUGCUGUAUUUAUGGAUUGCCGAGCUGUAGGGGGUAGCAGUGGCCUGAGGCGCCUACUAGAACCUGCCUGGAAAGGACAGACUGAUUUCAGCAGGUGUCUUGAAGACUAAACCCCUGUUAGCUUAGCAUCCCUGGAGCCUACAGACCCCUCCCCAUAUAUGCUAGACCCUUCCUGUGUGGUUGUGAUUUCUGGGCAGCUUCCUGCCUUCCCUGGACCCAGAUUUCUACAGUACUUGUGGGGCAGAGUGUGGUGUUCCCCAGGGAUGUUCAUCUUUCAUAGCUUGUCUAUCUGUAGACGCCCCCUCCCCUGUCUUCUGCAUCCCCUUGCAUCCUGCAGCCACUCCAAACCUGUCUAUCCUGUAUUCCUCAUUGACCUGCUUCUCAUGGAGUUUUUAUCUCAAGCCCUCUGCCCAGGUUUCUAGCUGGGGAAACCAUUGAAAAAUGAGAGACAGACUGGGUCCUUAAACUACAGGAAGUUACACAUCCUGUUUUCCAAAUCCAGAAUUCUAUACCUGACUGCAUGGAACGGGUCACAUUCAAAACAUGGAUAUGCUACAAACAAAAUUACCCUUGGGUCAUGUGUGCAGCAUAUGCAGAAACACAAGUGGAUCUUGUGUGUGUGUGUGGAUGUAAACCCCAUCCCCAAGAUAACUGUAUUACAUUUGUAUGUAUUGGUAGUUCAAGAUCUCAACCCGCCCAGGUAGAGGCUUGUUUAUCUAGGAUAUUCAACCUUCCGUGGACUGAGCCAGGUCCUACGAAGGCCACAUCUGUGAAGUACGUGGACAAGCUUCUUCCCACGUGGCUGCCCUGAGGCUUUGUUAAUGGGCUGACGGAACUACGGGAGAGAGCUUUGUGGGGCUAGUAUUAGAGACAAGCAAAGGGGGACCAUUUCAAGCACUGACCUAUCUCUUCCUGCUGGGUAAAGUCUUGCUUACUUACCAUGUUCUUCCAUGCUUUGAUGUGACUCUUUCUUGAGGUGUUCUCACCUACCUUCUUCCUCUAGGUGGGGUGAUUCUUUUCUAAAGGUGGUAGGGUUUUUUAGGUGGUAGUCCAGACUGGUCAAAUAUGUGUGGCAGGUCACGGGAAAGGGAGUCAUGGAAACCCACGUUGUCAUAAUGCCAUGUUGUUUUUGUACCUGAAAUAAAGCAUAUUUUGCACUUGUAAAUGAAAAAUCUGUAUGUGGGCUCUGUGCUGGGUCAGAAUGCAAAUAAAACCAUUUGUACU